Molecule: ribosomal RNA, 820 nt
Filed under: Yarrowia sp. VR572
Lineage: Eukaryota; Fungi; Ascomycota; Dipodascomycetes; Dipodascales
Description: partial 26S ribosomal RNA
Rfam family: Eukaryotic large subunit ribosomal RNA (bases 1-514)
Source: RNAcentral
AGGGUUUUGCCAUAAUACUGCGCGUGAGCGGCAAAGCUCAAUUUGAAAGCUUCGGCAUUGUAAUUUGAAGACUUGGCAUUGGGAUAAAGCUAACCCAAGUUGCUUGGAACAGCACGUCAUAGAGGGUACAACCCCGUAUGGCUAACCGUUAUCCUAUGUAUUGCCUUGUCUAAGAGUCGAGUUGUUUGGGAAUGCAGCUCUAAGUGGGUGGUAAACUCCAUCUAAAGCUAAAUAUUGGCGAGAGACCGAUAGCGACAAGUACUGUGAAGGAAAGAUGAAAAGAACUUUGAAAAGAGAGUGAAAAAGUAUGUGAAAUUGUUGAAAGGGAAGGGAAAAAUUGGAGGCAUGCCUUAGGGUUCACUUCUGUUUCGGCAGGAGGUAUCCCGACGGCGGGUCAUCCAGGGGGAUUACCGCAGGAUAAACGGCUUGGAAUUGCUUGCAAGGCCUUGUCACCUACUGCGUGUAGCUCCUUUGGCUGACGUAAUCCAAUUUCUCCACCCGUCUUGAACAACGGGACCACUGCCGCCCAUUUUUAAAAGGAAAAAACCUCCUCUUUUUUUAAAAAAAAAAAACUUUCUUCUUCUUUUUAAAAAAAAAAAAAACCUUUUUUUUUUUUAAAAAAAAAAAAAAUUUUUUUUUUUUUUAAAAAAAAAAAUUUUCUUUUUUUUGUGAAAAAAGAAGAGAUCUGGUGGGGGGGUGGAGAAGACGCCAGGGUUGUUAUCGAAGAAGGAGGAGAGCAUAGAUAUGCUAAAACGGAGAAGGAGAGAGGAUCGAAAGAGCAACCAGCGCCUGAGGGAAAGAGAGCGAGCCUUUGUAUCGG